CACUUCCUUUCUUGGGCGACUUGGCAGAUAAAAAAAAAAAAAAGUGGUACAAGGACGACUGAAGUGAACAUGGCCCCCAGCACGCAACGGAAUGAAGCUGUGUCCGACGUAAAAAAGGGAAUUCGGGCAAUCCUGCUUGGACCCCCUGGUGCUGGGAAAGGAACACAGGCUCCUCGGUUGGCAGAGCAGUACUGUGUGUGUCAUCUGGCCACGGGGGACAUGCUGAGGGCCAUGGUGGCAUCUGGCUCUGUGCUCGGCAAGAGGCUCAAGGAGACCAUGGAUGCCGGGAAACUGGUCAGUGAUGAGAUGGUGGUAGAACUCAUAGAAAAGAACCUGGACACUCCUCCCUGUAAGAAGGGGUUCCUAUUGGAUGGAUUCCCCCGCACAGUGAAACAAGCAGAGAUGCUGGAUGACUUGCUGGAGAAGCGCACAGAGAAGCUGGACUCUGUGAUCGAGUUCUCCGUCAACGACUCCCUACUGGUGCGCAGGAUCUGUGGCAGACUAAUUCACCAGCCUAGUGGUCGCUCCUACCACGAGGAGUUCAACCCACCCAAAGAGCCAAUGAAGGACGACGUGACAGGGGAGCCGCUGAUGCGCCGCAGCGACGACAAUGCACCCACGCUGCGCUCACGGCUGGAGUCCUACCACGGGCAGACUGUGCCCCUGGUCAAAUACUACAGUGCCCGCGGCCUGCACAAGGCAGUCGACGCUGGCCAGUCCCCCGACGUAGUCUUCUCCUCCAUCCUCGCCGCCUUCUCCUCGGCCACAGCCGCCACCUGUAAAGACCUGGUGCUCUUCAUCUAAGCUCCCACUACCUUUUCGGUCUCUCCUUCACGCUCCUAUCAUCUAGCUUUCCAACUUUCCUUUUUUAGUCUUUCUUUCACACUCUGGACUAGUCUGUGCUCCGUUCUCCUCCCCUUCGUCUCUCUGCUCUCCACUUUCUUCAUUCUGUGGUGGGGUGUCUCCCCUGUACUUGAACACGCUCCACUACUGGGACUUGAAUAGACUUCUCCUGGAAACUACAGAGACUGGACUAGCUGGUUAUAAUGGAGUGUACAAGAUGAGUGUAAUUUCCCCUUGGGCCAGCUGUUUGAAUCCCUGCUUCUCCAAUCCUGGCAAUGGAAACGAAGGAGGAAAUGUUGUACUAUAGCACUUCAUUUUGGAAUGUUGCUGGAGGAUGAGGGAGCUUAAUGUACUGCAUUCUACAAGGAAUAAGUGGAGCCAUCUUGGAAUUGACUUUGAUUGUUACCCUUGUAAUAAAAUGAAGACGCUGUUCUACAAUCAUGACA
This is an RNA transcript of Oncorhynchus kisutch (coho salmon), 1289 nucleotides long. It is a transcript of the gene named adenylate kinase 2, mitochondrial, with no coding region annotated. NCBI's taxonomy places the organism in Eukaryota, Metazoa, Chordata, Actinopteri, Salmoniformes, Salmonidae. The transcript is spliced from 7 exons. The record is from RefSeq and is a predicted model, not a curated record.